Non-coding RNA from Dipodomys ordii (Ord's kangaroo rat), 70 nucleotides. Lineage: Eukaryota; Metazoa; Chordata; Mammalia; Rodentia; Heteromyidae. The record is from Rfam.
GGGAAUGUGGCUUAGUGGUAGAGUGCUUGCCUAGCAUGUAUGAAGCCCUGGGUUCAAUUCCUCAGUGCCA